Molecule: long non-coding RNA, 313 nt
Filed under: Elaeis guineensis (African oil palm)
Lineage: Eukaryota; Viridiplantae; Streptophyta; Magnoliopsida; Arecales; Arecaceae
Description: long non-coding RNA (EGUI_LNC003381)
Source: RNAcentral
CAUGUAAGGAAUAAGGGACGCCAAGAGUUGGCGGCCCUUUAGAAUUUUGUGGCGCCCCUUCAUUUCUUAUAUAAGGGGUGCCCCAUAUGGAUAAUUCCUUGGUGAUUUUCGCAUGAGAAUGAGAAGAAAAAGACAAGAAAAAGUAUGAAAAAAGAUAAGAAAAAAGGGAGAAAAAAAUAGGAAGGAAGGGAAGAGGAAAAAGGAAAGCAUGUAGUGCUUGUCCUAAAAAUCAGAUUGUUCAAGUGUUGAACAUCUAAUUUGAUUUUGUGUGGUGAGAUCAUUUGAAAAAUGAUUCCUAGAAUGGUCCUAGUAG